RNAcentral lists this long non-coding RNA (949 nucleotides) under Helianthus annuus (common sunflower). The record is from RNAcentral. Lineage: Eukaryota; Viridiplantae; Streptophyta; Magnoliopsida; Asterales; Asteraceae.
CUGGUAGUUACCUCCACCAUUUUCUAGCCCAUGUCUCCAAAACUCAACCUCCUACAAACCUGGGUAGUGCUCUAAAGUCAGUUGAGGAGGUAUUAUUAUAUAAUGUACCUUAGAAGCAAUAGUUCAUAUCUUCAAAUCUAAUGUUAUUCAAGGGUUCGGCUUUUGGAAGGGGAAAAAUAGGAGAAUCAAAUACACUCUGUUUGGGAAGGAACAAAUCCGAUGUAUCUUCAGGUAUCGCUUGGGAAUAUGCAUCAAUUUAGCCAAGCAGAACAGAGCAAACACUAUGGCAGAUAGCAAUGACAUUGAGGACCAGAUGGAUCAGAGGUUGGCAACUAUGAGGAGAUGGAUGAAUGAUGAUGAUGUUGAAGAGUAGUUAAGAGGAAAAAGCUGAUGAUGAUCGUGGUAAAGAAAAGCAUGUUGGGCUGCUUACUUUGCCACCACAUGGUUCUGAGAUUUUCAUUGGGGGGCUUUCUAAGGAUGUGGUUGAGGAAGAUUUGAGUGAAGUUUGUGAACCUUUUGGGGAUGUUGUUUAGGUAAGUUUGGUGAGAUAUAUGGAGACCAAUGAAGGUAAGGGUUUUGCAUUUGUGGCAUUUAGAAGUAAAGAUGAUGUUCAAAAGGCCAUUGAAGAACUACAUAACAAAGAUUUUAAGGUGUGGAUCAUACAUAGCCAAUCAAGGGAAAAAGAGGCUUUGUAAGAAAAAAUGUUGUUGCUUGAGGCCUUACAUAAUUAUGCAUUUUCAUCCGCAUACAGUCCCCCUAUUACACGAUCCCUAGCCCAGUCGUUUUAUGUUGGUGCUGCUGGUGGAAGAGUAUCAUAGUAAUGCGGACGAGAAGUUUGCAGAGGUAGUAUGCAUUAUAUCAUUUUGUGCUUCAUGUUUGUUUAUACUACUAAACAGGAGCAAUUGUAAUUUGAUUUUCAUUUAUAGUUUUUUAAUUGGGUAUUUGUUAA